CUUCCUUUAGAUGCUCUAAGCUGUAGGCAC
RNAcentral lists this unclassified non-coding RNA (30 nucleotides) under Dictyostelium discoideum. Lineage: Eukaryota; Evosea; Eumycetozoa; Dictyosteliales; Dictyosteliaceae. The record is from RNAcentral.